UCCCUGGUGGCUCAGAUGGUAAAGAAUCUGCCUUCAACGCAGGAGACCCAGGUUCAAUUGCUGGAUCGGGAA
RNAcentral lists this transfer RNA (72 nucleotides) under Bos taurus (domestic cattle). It matches the Rfam family "tRNA". From Rfam's summary of the family: Transfer RNA (tRNA) molecules are approximately 80 nucleotides in length. Their secondary structure includes four short double-helical elements and three loops (D, anti-codon, and T loops). RNAcentral also lists the same sequence under 1 other name. The record is from Rfam by way of RNAcentral. Lineage: Eukaryota; Metazoa; Chordata; Mammalia; Artiodactyla; Bovidae.